UAUAAUCAACACUCAGAUAUACCACUGGUGUUAACCCCACUAGAAUCAACACUCAGAUAUAACACUGGUGUUAACCCCACUAGAAUCAACACUCAGAUAUAACACUGGUGUUAACCCCACUAGAAUCAACACUCAGAUAUAACACUGGUGUUAACCCCACUAGAAUCAACACUCAGAUAUACCACUGGUGUUAACCCCACUAGAAUCAACACUCAGAUAUACCACUGGUGUUAACCCCACUAGAAUCAACACUCAGAUAUAACACUGGUGUUAACCCCACUAGAAUCAACACUCAGAUAUACCACUGGUGUUAACCCCACUAGAAUCAACACUCAGAUAUACCACUGGUGUUAACCCCACUAGAAUCAACACUCAGAUAUACCACUGGUGUUAACCCCACUAGAAUCAACACUCAGAUAUAACACUGGUGUUAACCCCACUAGAAUCAACACUCAGAUAUAACACUGGUGUUAACCCCACUAGAAUCAACACUCAGAUAUACCACUGGUGUUAACCCCACUAGAAUCAACACUCAGAUAUACCACUGGUGUUAACCCCACUAGAAUCAACACUCAGAUAGAACCCUGGUAUUAACCCCACUAUAAUCAACACUCAGAUAUACCACAGGUGUUAACCCCACUAGAAUCAACACUCAGAUAGAACCAUGGUAUUAACCCCACUAUAAUCAACACUCAGAUAUACCACUGGUGUUAACCCCACUAUAAUCAACACUCAGAUAUACCACUGGUAUUAACCCCACUAUAAUCAACACUCAGAUAGAACCAUGGUAUUAACCCCACUAUAAUCAACACUCAGAUAGAACCAUGGUAUUAACCCCACUAUAAUCAACACUCAGAUAGAACCAUGGUAUUAACCCCGUUAUAAUCAACACCGAUAUACCCAGAAAUGUGCUGCGUACAUGUGCCAUUUGCAACUUAAAAUCUCUCUCAGGAAC
Oncorhynchus keta (chum salmon) is the source of this 955-nucleotide long non-coding RNA. RefSeq lists it as uncharacterized. NCBI's taxonomy places the organism in Eukaryota, Metazoa, Chordata, Actinopteri, Salmoniformes, Salmonidae. The transcript is spliced from 3 exons. The record is from RefSeq and is a predicted model, not a curated record.